This 108-nucleotide small nuclear RNA is filed under the name Mus spicilegus (steppe mouse). Lineage: Eukaryota; Metazoa; Chordata; Mammalia; Rodentia; Muridae. The record is from RNAcentral.
GUGCUUGCUUCGGCAGCACAUAUACUAAAAAUUGGAAGGAUACAGAGAAGAUUAGCAUGACCCCUGUGUAAGGAUGACAUGCAAAUUCAUGAAGCAGUCCAUAAAAAA